CUUAUUGGACCCGGGGGCAGUACCCGGCGCCUCCACCAAAAUAUAAUCAACAAGCUUAUACUUUGGUGGGGGCGAAAUAGGGACGACAAGGGUGUAAAGAUUGCUCUUUUACUCGGCAUUGUACCACCGUCAUCGGACUAAAUUAAUAGUUGCAAACGACAACUAUGCGGAAGCACGUCUUGCUGCUUAAGCAGUGUGAAGGCUUCAAAUUAAGCCUUAAACCGUCGCAGGUUUAAGCGGGGUUCGGAGG
Molecule: transfer-messenger RNA, 250 nt
Filed under: uncultured Bartonella sp.
Lineage: Bacteria; Pseudomonadati; Pseudomonadota; Alphaproteobacteria; Hyphomicrobiales; Bartonellaceae
Description: partial ssrA
Rfam family: Alphaproteobacteria transfer-messenger RNA
About the family: Bacterial tmRNA, also known as 10Sa RNA or SsrA, is named for its dual tRNA and mRNA-like properties. Its role is to liberate the mRNA from a stalled ribosome.
Source: RNAcentral